Ictalurus punctatus (channel catfish) is the source of this 1777-nucleotide long non-coding RNA. The record is from Ensembl. Lineage: Eukaryota; Metazoa; Chordata; Actinopteri; Siluriformes; Ictaluridae.
GGCAGUUGGGACAGUAGUUAGCGACAGUUGGGACACUAGUUAGCAACAGUUGGGACAGUAGUUAGCGACAGUUGGGACAGUAGUUAGCGGCAGUUGGGACAGUAGUUAGGGGCAGUUGGGACAGUAGUUAGUGACAGUUGGGACAGUAGUUAGCAACAGUUGGGACAGUCGUUAGCGGCAGUUGGCACAGUCGUUAGCGGCAGUUGGCACAGUCGUUAGCGACAGUUGGGACAGUCGUUAGCGGCAGUUGGCACAGUCGUUAGCGACAGUUGGGACAGUAGUUAGCGGCAGUUGGGACAGUAGUUGGGGCAGUUCGGACAGUAGUUAGGGGCAGUUGGGACAGUAGUUAGCGACAGUUGGGACAGCAGUUGGGACAGUAGUUGGGGCAGUUCGGACAGUAGUUAGGGGCAGUUGGGACAGUAGUUAGCGACAGUUGGGACAGUAGUUAGUGACAGUUGGGACACUCGUUAGCGACAGUUGGGACAGUAGUUAGUGACAGUUCGGACAGUAGUUAGCGACUGUUGGGACAGUAGUUGGGGCAGUUGGGACAGUCGUUAGCGACAGUUGGGAAAGUACUUAGCGGCAGUUGGGACAGUGGUUAGGGGCAGUUGGGACAGUAGUUAGCGACAGUUGGGAAAGUAGUUAGGGGUAGUUGGGACAGUAGUUAGGGCAGUUGGGACAGUAGUUGGGGCAGUUGGGACAGUAGUUAGCGGCAGUUGGGACAGUAGUUAGCGACAUUGGGACAGUAGUUGGGGCAGUUGGGACAGUAGUUAGUGGCAGUUGGGACAGUAGUUAGCGGCAGUUGGCACAGUCGUUAGCGACAGUUGGGACAGUCGUUAGCGACAGUUGGGACAGUAGUUAGGGGCAGUUGGGACAGUACUUAGGGGCAGUUGGGACAGUAGUUAGCGACAGUUGGGACUGUAGUUAGCGGCAGUUGGGACAGUAGUUAGGGGCAGUUGGGACAGUACUUAGCGGCAGUUGGGGCAGUUGGGACAGUAGUUAGCGGCAGUUGGGACAGUAGUUAGCGACAGUUGGGACAGUAGUUAGCGGAAGUUGGGACAGUAGUUAGGGGCAGUUGGGACAGUAGUUAGCAGCAGUUGGGACAGUAGUUAGGGGCAGUUGGGACAGUAGUUUGCAGCAGUUGGGACAGUAGUUAGCGACAGUUGGGACAGUAGUUAGCGGAAGUUGGGACAGUAGUUAGCGGCACUUGGGACAGUAGUUAGCAACAGUUGGGACAGUAGUUGGGGCAGUAGGGACAGUAGUUAGCGACAGUAGGGAUUGUAGUUAGCGACAGUUGGGACAGUAGUUUGCGCCAGUUGGGAAAGUAGUUAGGGGCAGUUGGGACAGUAGUUAGCAACAGUUGGGAAAGUAGUUAGGGGUAGUUGGGACAGUAGUUAGCUGCAGUUGGGACAGUAGUUAGCAGCAGUUGGGAAAGUAGUUGGGGCAGUUGGGACAGUAGUUAGCGACAGUUGGGACAGUAGUUAGUGGCAGUUGGGACAGUAGUUAGGGGCAGUUGGGACAGUAGUUAGUGGCAGUUGGGACAGUAGUUGGUGCAGUUGGUACAGUAUUUAGCGAAAUUUGGAACAGUAGUUAGCAGCAGUUGGGACAGUAGUUAGCAGCAGUUGGGGCAGUAGUUAGCGGCAGUUGGGACAGUAGUUAGCGGCAGUUGGGACAGUAGUUAGCGGCAGUUGGCACAGUCGUUAGCGGCAGUUGGGACAGUAGUUAGGGGCAGUUGGGAGAGUAGUUAGGGGCAGUUGGGACAGUAGUUGGGGCUGUU